AGAGUUUGAUCAUGGCUCAGAAUCAACGCUGGCGGCGUGCCUAACACAUGCAAGUCGAACGAGAAAGUGGUAGCAAUACCAUGAGUAAAGUGGCGCACGGGUGAGUAACACGUGACUAACCUACCCUGGAGUGGGGGAUAACUGAGGGAAACCUUAGCUAAUACCGCAUAAUACCCACGGGUCAAAGGAGCAAUUCGCUUUGGGAGGGGGUCGCGGCCGAUUAGUUAGUUGGCGGGGUAACGGCCCACCAAGACGAUGAUCGGUAUCCGGCCUGAGAGGGCGCACGGACACACUGGAACUGAAACACGGUCCAGACUCCUACGGGAGGCAGCAGUGGGGAAUUUUGCGCAAUGGGGGAAACCCUGACGCAGCAACGCCGCGUGGAGGAUGAAGUCCUUCGGGACGUAAACUCCUUUCGAUCGGGACGAUUAUGACGGUACCGGAAGAAGAAGCCCCGGCUAACUUCGUGCCAGCAGCCGCGGUAAUACGAGGGGGGCGAGCGUUGUUCGGAAUUAUUGGGCGUAAAGGGUGCGUAGGCGGUUUUGUAAGUCUUAUGUGAAAUCUAUGGGCUCAACUCAUAGACUGCAUGAGAAACUGCAGGGCUCGAGUGUGGGAGAGGUGAGUGGAAUUCCUGGUGUAGCGGUGAAAUGCGUAGAUAUCAGGAGGAACACCUGUGGCGAAAGCGGCUCACUGGACCAUAACUGACGCUGAUGCACGAAAGCUAGGGGAGCAAACAGGAUUAGAUACCCUGGNAGUCCUAGCCCUAAACCAUGAUUGCUUGGUGUGACGGGUACCCAAUCCCGCCGUGCCGUAGCUAACGCGUUAAGCAAUCCGCCUGGGG
RNAcentral lists this ribosomal RNA (841 nucleotides) under uncultured bacterium. Its description in RNAcentral is "bacterial SSU rRNA". It matches the Rfam family "Bacterial small subunit ribosomal RNA", at positions 8 to 878 of the family's 1533-position model. The record is from RNAcentral.